RNAcentral lists this ribosomal RNA (2825 nucleotides) under Aeromonas veronii. Its description in RNAcentral is "partial 23S ribosomal RNA". It matches the Rfam family "Bacterial large subunit ribosomal RNA". Lineage: Bacteria; Pseudomonadati; Pseudomonadota; Gammaproteobacteria; Aeromonadales; Aeromonadaceae. The record is from RNAcentral.
GGUUAAGUGACUAAGCGUACAUGGUGGAUGCCUUGGCAGUCAGAGGCGAUGAAGGACGUACUAACCUGCGAUAAGCUGUGAGAAGUCGGUAAGAGACGCUAUUACUCACAGAUUUCCGAAUGGGGAAACCCACCCAAGAUAACUUGGGUAUCUGUUACUGAAUACAUAGGUAACAGAGGCGAACCGGGAGAACUGAAACAUCUAAGUACCCCGAGGAAAAGAAAUCAACCGAGAUUCCCUCAGUAGCGGCGAGCGAACGGGGAUUAGCCCUUAAGCAUCUUGGAAGUUAGUGGAACGGUCCUGGAAAGGCCGGCGAUACAGGGUGAUAGCCCCGUACACGAAAACAACCUUGAUGUGAAAUCGAGUAGGGCGGGACACGUGACAUCCUGUCUGAAUAUGGGGGGACCAUCCUCCAAGGCUAAAUACUCCUGACUGACCGAUAGUGAACCAGUACCGUGAGGGAAAGGCGAAAAGAACCCCUGUGAGGGGAGUGAAAUAGAACCUGAAACCGUGUACGUACAAGCAGUGGGAGCCCUUCGGGGUGACUGCGUACCUUUUGUAUAAUGGGUCAGCGACUUACAUUUUGUAGCGAGGUUAACCGUAUAGGGGAGCCGUAGGGAAACCGAGUCUUAACUGGGCGUCUAGUUGCAAGGUGUAGACCCGAAACCGGGUGAUCUAGCCAUGGGCAGGUUGAAGGUUGAGUAACAUCAACUGGAGGACCGAACCCACUAACGUUGCAAAGUUAGGGGAUGACCUGUGGCUGGGGGUGAAAGGCCAAUCAAACUCGGAGAUAGCUGGUUCUCCCCGAAAGCUAUUUAGGUAGCGCCUCGGACGAAUACUACUGGGGGUAGAGCACUGUUUGGGCUAGGGGGUCAUCCCGACUUACCAACCCCAUGCAAACUCCGAAUACCAGUAAGUAAUAUCCGGGAGACACACGGCGGGUGCUAACGUCCGUCGUGAAGAGGGAAACAACCCAGACCGCCGGCUAAGGUCCCAAAGUUCUGGUUAAGUGGGAAACGAUGUGGGAAGGCUCAGACAGCUAGGAUGUUGGCUUAGAAGCAGCCAUCAUUUAAAGAAAGCGUAAUAGCUCACUAGUCGAGUCGGCCUGCGCGGAAGAUGUAACGGGGCUCAAACCAGGCACCGAAGCCGCGGAUUCACACUUAUGUGUGAGUGGUAGGGGAGCGUUCUGUAAGUCUGCGAAGGUGUAUCGAGAGGUAUGCUGGAGAUAUCAGAAGUGCGAAUGCUGACGUAAGUAACGAUAAAGGGGGUGAAAAGCCUCCUCGCCGGAAGACCAAGGGUUCCUGUCCAACGUUAAUCGGGGCAGGGUGAGUCGACCCCUAAGGCGAGGCCGAAAGGCGUAGUCGAUGGGAAGCAGGUUAAUAUUCCUGCACGACUUGUAAUUGCGAUGGGGGGACGGAGAAGGCUAGGUGGGCCAGGCGACGGUUGUCCUGGUGAAAGUGCGUAGGUGGUGUUUCUAGGCAAAUCCGGAGACACAACACUGAGACACGAGACGAACACACUACGGUGUGGAAGCCAUUGAUGCCCUGCUUCCAGGAAAAGCCUCUAAGCUUCAGAUUACAAGUCAUCGUACCCCAAACCGACACAGGUGGUCGGGUAGAGAAUACCAAGGCGCUUGAGAGAACUCGGGUGAAGGAACUAGGCAAAAUAGAACCGUAACUUCGGGAGAAGGUUCGCUCUUGAUGGUGAAGUCCCUUGCGGAUGGAGCUGUCGGGAGUCGCAGUGACCAGAUGGCUGGGACUGUUUAUCAAAAACACAGCACUCUGCAAACACGAAAGUGGACGUAUAGGGUGUGACACCUGCCCGGUGCCGGAAGGUUAAUUGAUGGGGUUAGCGCAAGCGAAGCUCUUGAUCGAAGCCCCGGUAAACGGCGGCCGUAACUAUAACGGUCCUAAGGUAGCGAAAUUCCUUGUCGGGUAAGUUCCGACCUGCACGAAUGGUGUAACCAUGGCCAUGCUGUCUCCACCCGAGACUCAGUGAAAUCGAAUUCGCCGUGAAGAUGCGGUGUACCCGCGGCUAGACGGAAAGACCCCGUGAACCUUUACUACAGCUUGGCACUGAACAUUGAACCUACAUGUGUAGGAUAGGUGGGAGGCUUUGAAGGCGUGACGCCAGUUGCGCUGGAGCCGUCCUUGAAAUACCACCCUUGUAUGUUUGAUGUUCUAACGCAGGGCCCUGAAUCGGGCUCGCGGACAGUGCCUGGUGGGUAGUUUGACUGGGGCGGUCUCCUCCCAAAGAGUAACGGAGGAGCACGAAGGUUGGCUAAUCCUGGUCGGACAUCAGGAGGUUAGUGCAAUGGCAUAAGCCAGCUUAACUGCGAGACGGACAGGUCGAGCAGGUACGAAAGUAGGUCAUAGUGAUCCGGUGGUUCUGAAUGGAAGGGCCAUCGCUCAACGGAUAAAAGGUACUCCGGGGAUAACAGGCUGAUACCGCCCAAGAGUUCAUAUCGACGGCGGUGUUUGGCACCUCGAUGUCGGCUCAUCACAUCCUGGGGCUGAAGUCGGUCCCAAGGGUAUGGCUGUUCGCCAUUUAAAGUGGUACGCGAGCUGGGUUCAGAACGUCGUGAGACAGUUCGGUCCCUAUCUGCCGUGGGCGUUGGAUGAUUGAAGGGAGUUGCUCCUAGUACGAGAGGACCGGAGUGAACGAACCUCUGGUGUUCGGGUUGUCACGCCAGUGGCACUGCCCGGUAGCUAAGUUCGGAAUCGAUAACCGCUGAAAGCAUCUAAGCGGGAAGCGAGCCCUGAGAUGAGUCAUCCCUGACCCCUUGAGGGUCCUAAAGGGCCGUUGGAGACCACAACGUUGAUAGG